This 72-nucleotide transfer RNA is filed under the name Camelus bactrianus (Bactrian camel). It matches the Rfam family "tRNA". From Rfam's summary of the family: Transfer RNA (tRNA) molecules are approximately 80 nucleotides in length. Their secondary structure includes four short double-helical elements and three loops (D, anti-codon, and T loops). RNAcentral also lists the same sequence under 2 other names. The record is from Rfam by way of RNAcentral. Lineage: Eukaryota; Metazoa; Chordata; Mammalia; Artiodactyla; Camelidae.
AGGGAAAUUGCUCAGUAGUAGAGUGCAUGCUUAGCAUGUAUGCAUUCCUGGGUUCAAUUCCCAGUAUCUCCA